This is a non-coding RNA of Chiloscyllium plagiosum (whitespotted bambooshark), 123 nucleotides long. NCBI's taxonomy places the organism in Eukaryota, Metazoa, Chordata, Chondrichthyes, Orectolobiformes, Hemiscylliidae. The record is from RefSeq and is a predicted model, not a curated record.
AAGAAACAACCACAUCUGUACCACCAACUACAACUGGCUCUACCAGUGCUUCGACAAAAGAACAAACAACGACAACAACAGGGAUAACCACCACACCGGGUUCAACUGCCAGUUCCACAACGG